This 520-nucleotide ribosomal RNA is filed under the name Streptomyces sp. 310G01. RNAcentral's name for it is "bacterial SSU rRNA". It matches the Rfam family "Bacterial small subunit ribosomal RNA", at positions 93 to 625 of the family's 1533-position model. Lineage: Bacteria; Bacillati; Actinomycetota; Actinomycetes; Kitasatosporales; Streptomycetaceae. The record is from RNAcentral.
UAGUGGCGAACGGGUGAGUAACACGUGGGCAAUCUGCCCUUCACUCUGGGACAAGCCCUGGAAACGGGGUCUAAUACCGGAUAACACUCUGUCCCGCAUGGGACGGGGUUGAAAGCUCCGGCGGUGAAGGAUGAGCCCGCGGCCUAUCAGCUUGUUGGUGGGGUGAUGGCCUACCAAGGCGACGACGGGUAGCCGGCCUGAGAGGGCGACCGGCCACACUGGGACUGAGACACGGCCCAGACUCCUACGGGAGGCAGCAGUGGGGAAUAUUGCACAAUGGGCGAAAGCCUGAUGCAGCGACGCCGCGUGAGGGAUGACGGCCUUCGGGUUGUAAACCUCUUUCAGCAGGGAAGAAGCGAGAGUGACGGUACCUGCAGAAGAAGCGCCGGCUAACUACGUGCCAGCAGCCGCGGUAAUACGUAGGGCGCAAGCCGUUGUCCGGAAUUAUUGGGCGUAAAGAGCUCGUAGGCCGGCUUGUUGCGUCGGUUGUGAAAGCCCGGGGCUUAACCCCGGGUCUGCA